Molecule: ribosomal RNA, 486 nt
Filed under: uncultured bacterium
Lineage: Bacteria
Description: partial 16S ribosomal RNA
Rfam family: Bacterial small subunit ribosomal RNA
Source: RNAcentral
AUUGAACGCUGGCGACAUGCCUUACACAUGCAAGUCGAACGGCAGCACGGGUGCUUGCACCUGGUGGCGAGUGGCGAACGGGUGAGUAAUACAUCGGAACAUGUCCUGUAGUGGGGGAUAGCCCGGCGAAAGCCGGAUUAAUACCGCAUACGAUCUACGGAUGAAAGCGGGGGACCUUCGGGCCUCGCGCUAUAGGGUUGGCCGAUGGCUGAUUAGCUAGUUGGUGGGGUAAAGGCCUACCAAGGCGACGAUCAGUAGCUGGUCGGAGAGGACGACCACCCACACGGGAACGGAGACAGGCCCAAGACCCCGAGGGGGGCACACGGGGGGGAUUUUGGACGAAGGGCCGAAGGCGUGACCCAGAAAGCGCGGGGGUGGGAAGAGGGCCUUGGGUUGUGAAGGCAUUUUUGCCGGGAAAAAAGCCGUGGCCCCUAAUCAGGGGGGGGAAUGACGGUACGGAAAAAAAAAGCCCCGGCUAACUACGUG